RNAcentral lists this ribosomal RNA (250 nucleotides) under uncultured bacterium. RNAcentral describes it as "partial 16S ribosomal RNA". It matches the Rfam family "Bacterial small subunit ribosomal RNA", at positions 524 to 773 of the family's 1533-position model. The record is from RNAcentral.
GACGGAGGUGGCAAACGUUGCUCGGAAUCACUGGGCUUAAAGGGCGUGUAGGCGGCAGAUCAAGUCGGAUGUGAAAUCUCUCGGCUCAACCGAGAAACUGCAUUCGAUACUGGUCAGCUAGAGUGCGAGAGGGGUGAGUGGAACUCCAGGUGUAGCGGUGAAAUGCGUAGAUAUCUGGAGGAACGCCGGUGGCGAAAGCGACUCACUGGCUCGCAACUGACGCUGAGGCGCGAAAGCUAGGGGAGCGAAC